GCUCCACGAUACUAGCGGGGGCUUUAAGAUAAUGCACUGAAAAAAUAAUAAUACUAGCUCAUCGGCAGAGUACAGAAAACUGCUCCGGCAACACCGAACACUCUGCGUUGCCUAUUCUCUGGCAACAUGGGAAGCGCUGGCAGCACGGGGCCUGUGUGUCCUCGGGGAGCACCCCGAGGGAAGUCUCAGAAGUUUCUAAUGAAGCAUCCCCUCACUCCCACCAUACUGCUACCCAUGGAGAGAACUUAUGGCUUGGGAUUGCUGGUGCAACGUACAGCAGCUGCACAACAAGGUGGGUGAGAAGAGAUUAGACAGAGAAUCCAGGAGGUAAAAUUUUAGUUCCAGCUGAGCCCUUGAAUCUUUGUGGAUAUUUAUUAUUUGAUUAAACAUAACUUACCUUUUUUCUGACUAAAAAUGAUACAUAUUUGCUGAGUGAAGUGGUUCAUGCCUGUAAUCCCAGCACUCUGAGAGGCUGAGGUAGGAUGAUUGCUUGAGCCCAUGAGUUUGAGACCAGCCUGGGCAAUGUAGUAAGACCCUGUCUCUACAAAAAUAUUAAAAAUCAGCUGAGUGUGGUGGCAUAUGCCUGUGGUUCCAGUUACUCAGGAGACUGAGACUAAAGGAUAGCUUGAACCCAGGAGUUUGAGGCUACAGUGAACUGUGAUCAUGCCGCUACACUCCAGCCUGAAUGACAAAGCAAGAUCCUUUCUCAAAAAAAAAAAAAGAAAAAAAGAUAUGUGUUUAUUAUCAAACAUAAUAAUCCAGAAAAGUAUAAAGCAUAAAAUAAAAACCCAAUUUCCCACUACCCACACGUGACCCACUGGGUCUAAUGUUAACAUUGUAUUAAAUGUAUUUCUGGACAGCUUUCUCCAUAAUAUGCAUAUAAGUACACAAGUAAUAUGCCAUUUAUAUCAGUUGAAUCAUACUAUACAUACUAUACAUGACACUUACUUUUUUUUUUUUUUUUUGGAGACAGAGUUUUGCUCUUGUUGCCCAGGAUGGAAUGCAAUGGUGAGAUCUCAGUUCACCACAACCUCUGCUUCCCA
This 1043-nucleotide long non-coding RNA is filed under the name Macaca mulatta (Rhesus monkey). RNAcentral describes it as "lncRNA (ENSMMUG00000062512.1)". Lineage: Eukaryota; Metazoa; Chordata; Mammalia; Primates; Cercopithecidae. The record is from RNAcentral.